This 1428-nucleotide long non-coding RNA is filed under the name Homo sapiens (human). Its description in RNAcentral is "HSALNT0379894". The record is from RNAcentral. Lineage: Eukaryota; Metazoa; Chordata; Mammalia; Primates; Hominidae.
CAGAACAGGCAGAGGCAGUUCAGGGGUAUUCUGGUUGCCUUACCCAGCUCUGAAGUCUGUCAGCCUCUUCAGAUGUCACUUGCCAUGUGGUAAGGAAGUGUAGUCAGCAGCUGGUGCAGUGGGAAGAAGAGAAAGGAAGUUCCCCAAGACAAAAACAUCUCGGCAGACCGUGAUCAUGGGCUACAUUCUCCGUACCAGCUUCAUAGCUCCAGUGAGAAAAUAAAUUCCUGCAUCCAGGAGAUGUGGAGUAAGAGAUACAGCUGCCCUUGACCAUAUUUCUUACUUCCGAGAAGAUCGUAGCAGUAAUUCAGAAUCUCAUCCAGGAUACCUCAUCACAGGCUGGAGUGCAGUGUCAUGAGCUUGGCUCACUACAGCCUCCAUCUUCUGUGCUUAAGGAUCCUUCCCUCUCAACCUCCAAGGUAGCUGAGACUACAGGCAACAUUCGAAACCCAGGUGCCACUCCUUCAGGAAGGUACCAUCAAGCUCCAAGGACUCAUCCUCUUUCUCCUUCCCCACUACCUAGUCAUUAGAGCGUCAGCAUCCACUUCCUGAAAGGAAGAUGCCUGUUUUUCACAUAUCCCAGAAAGCCUCAUUUUAGGACAGCAUUUAGCAGAGUGUAUUCAGGAUCCCACUAACCUUUUCGGAAGACAUGACUUCCAGAUGAUAUAAGGCAAGAAUAAGAAAUUUCAGUGACAGGGAACAGAAAUCAUAUUUCUGCAUUCAGGAUCAUGUUUUCUUGGCUCCAUCAGGAACUGUGCAGGACUGUGCACUCUGUUGAUACUCACAUGGUGGAAUUAUAUUGCCCUUGGCCAACCCUAAAGCCAUCAAGAUAGCAGCAACUACUCUAUCAUUACUGUACCACCACCUGUAUGGAUCUCGUUGCCCAUAUGAAACUGAGUAAGGAACAAUGUGCAUCACACUCACAGAGAAAGAUGGACAAGUUUGGAAUAAUUCACUGUCGAAGUCUUCUUGAGCUGAGCAGUCAUGUGAGCUUGGAAGAUGAUCCCUCUCCAGCUGAUCCUUCAGCUCAGGCCAUCAUCUACAUCUGGAUUCCUGACCCGGAGAAACUAUGAGUAAUGUGUGCUGCUUUUGAGCCACUAAGCUACAUGCUGCCAUGUAAGAUGUGCCUUACUUCCCCUUUGCCUUCAAUCAUGACUGUAAGUUUCCUGAGGCCUCCCCAGCCAUGCAGAAAUAUGCAAAGCCCAGGACAAAAGGCAGAGAUGCAGAUAAUGUCUCACCCUUCCCAGUACAGUCAGAGGGCACAGUUGGGCUAAGAACUCCACAUAUCCCUUGGACUUACUAUGGCUACAAGCAAGACAAGUCAAAUAAUUAUUACCAAUAUCACAGGAGCAGUUUACAGCCUUAAAGCAUCUAGCUAAAACAGUAUCUGACCUGCUUGACUAUUCAGACAAAAUAUUUAAAUAAUUC